GACAGAGGUGCCAAGCGUUAUUCGGAAUCACUGGGCUUACAGGGUGCGUAGGCGGCCUGUUAAGUAGGGUGUGAAAUCCCCCGGCCCAACCGGGGAAUGGCGCUCUAAACUAGCAGGCUUGAGUGAGCUAGGGGUACACGGAACUUCCAGUGGAGCGGUGAAAUGUGUUGAUAUUGGAAGGAACACCGGAGGCGAAAGCGGUGUACUGGGGCUUAACUGACGCUGAGGCACGAAAGCCAGGGGAGCGAACGGG
RNAcentral lists this ribosomal RNA (253 nucleotides) under uncultured bacterium. RNAcentral's name for it is "partial 16S ribosomal RNA". It matches the Rfam family "Bacterial small subunit ribosomal RNA", at positions 524 to 776 of the family's 1533-position model. The record is from RNAcentral.